UGGGGAAUAUUGCACAAUGGGCGAAAGCCUGAUGCAGCGACGCCGCGUGAGGGAUGACGGCCUUCGGGUUGUAAACCUCUUUCAGUAGGGACGAAGCGCAAGUGACGGUACCUGCAGAAGAAGCACCGGCUAACUACGUGCCAGCAGCCGCGGUAAUACGUAGGGUGCGAGCGUUGUCCGGAAUUACUGGGCGUAAAGAGCUCGUAGGCGGUUUGUCACGUCGUCUGUGAAAUCCUAGGGCUUAACCCUGGACGUGCAGGCGAUACGGGCUGACUUGAGUACUACAGGGGAGACUGGAAUCUCUGGUGUAGCGGUGGAAUGCACAGAUAUCAGGAAGAACACCGAUGGCGAAGGCAGGUCUCUGGGUAGUAACUGGCGCUGAGGAGCGAAAGCAUGGGUAGCGAACAGG
RNAcentral lists this ribosomal RNA (409 nucleotides) under bacterium. RNAcentral describes it as "partial 16S ribosomal RNA". It matches the Rfam family "Bacterial small subunit ribosomal RNA", at positions 355 to 776 of the family's 1533-position model. The record is from RNAcentral.